CCUACGGGAGGCAGCACUGGGGAAUCCUGCGCGAGGCAGCAGUGGGGAAUCUUGGACAAUGGCGCAAGCAUGAUCCACUCAUGCCGCUNGAGUGAUGAAGGCCUUAGGGUAGUAAAGCUCUUUCAANCAGGGAUGAUAAUGACAGUACCUGUGAAGAAG
Molecule: ribosomal RNA, 159 nt
Filed under: bacterium symbiont of Siboglinum sp.
Lineage: Bacteria
Description: partial 16S ribosomal RNA
Rfam family: Bacterial small subunit ribosomal RNA
Source: RNAcentral